CAUUACAUCUAUCUCAAUUUUUCUUUGUGAUUCUCUCUCAUUUGUUGUUUUCAUUUUCCUAGUGUUCCCAAAAAUUCUCACAUGGAAAUGCAAAUAAUUUGUAAGCAAGUUGGUAUGAAGAUUCGAUGAGGAGAUCUACAAGUUUGAGGCAGGAUUGUAACUUAUUUAACUUUGUAACUCAAAUUUGUGAAAUCCAAUUUGAAAUUUGUGUUUGAAUUGAGUUAAUUAGUUAAAAUUUAUGUGAAUUUGCUCAAAUAUCUUGUAAAUCUGCACAUAUUUAAAAUCUUCAGCACAAACUUUGCAUAUAUUUAUUCUUCAUUUUCAAAUAUUGUGAAAAAUUACAAUUCUUGGUAAAAAUUUGUAGUUCCUUUUGAAAUUUUUGCAAAUUUUGGCCAUUUUCUAUAUAAAUUUUUUUUUCAUUAACUUGCAAAUCUAGUGCUUUUUCAGAUUAAUUUACAGAUCUUUUGAGAUAGUAUAGGUAUUCUGGCAAAUCAACCUCAAAUCUGUGCAAUUGCAAAUAAUUUCCUUGGCGAUGGCUUUGAUCCGCAGCCUUGGACAUUUAUUUAUGCAAAUUUAGCUCCAAACUGCUUCGAUCAACAACUUUGGAUGAUUAUUUCUAAUAGACACAAUCUACAACUUUAUUUCUACAAAUAGGCAAAUUUUGGCCAUUUUCUAUGAAAAUUUUAUUUUCAUUAACUUGCAAAUCUAGUGCUUUUUCAGAUUAAUUUACAGAGCUUUUGAGAUAGUAGAGGUAUUCUGGCAAAUCAACCUCAAAUCUGUGCAAUUGCAAAUACUUUCCUUGGCGUUGGCUUUGAUCUGCAGCCUUGGACAUUUAUUUGUGCAAAUUUAGCUCUAAACUGCUUCGAUCAACAACUUUGGAUAAUUAUUUCUAAAUAGACACAAUCUACAACUUUAUUUCUACAAAUAAGCAUCUAUUCUAGCAAAUUUCAGUUAGUCUAGCGUUUAAAUAUCGUUGUGGUGACCUAUAUAUUCUUCUUGGAAUGGUGCGUUGGAGAGAAUCACCUUUGGAAAUUGGAAAACAAAAUUUUUGCAUCCCUCAAUUGACCUUGCAUUCAUCUUUGAAUAUAUGCAUUGGCGUGGUUCUGCAAAUAAUUUAUUAAUCGCCUUGGCAGAGGAGUUCGAAUUGAUCUAGCAGAGGUGUGAAAGUUCCAUUCUUUAUUUAAAGUUAGCCUACAAUAAUUUGGCAUUCACAGGCAAAAUGUCAAAGGGCGUGGAGUGAGAUUGAGUUGCCUUCUGCUAAAAAUGGCUUCAUUUCACUCUGGCGUGAUAGAUCGGCCUUGUAUUAAAAUAAUUUUACAUUCUAUUCAAACUAAAUCAGCCUUUCAA
Long non-coding RNA from Cryptomeria japonica (Japanese cedar), 1347 nucleotides. RefSeq lists it as uncharacterized. The transcript has 2 exons. The record is from RefSeq and is a predicted model, not a curated record. NCBI's taxonomy places the organism in Eukaryota, Viridiplantae, Streptophyta, Pinopsida, Cupressales, Cupressaceae.